RNAcentral lists this ribosomal RNA (256 nucleotides) under uncultured bacterium. Its description in RNAcentral is "partial 16S ribosomal RNA". It matches the Rfam family "Bacterial small subunit ribosomal RNA", at positions 524 to 776 of the family's 1533-position model. The record is from RNAcentral.
UACUGAGACCUCAAGCGUUAUUCGGAAUCAUUGGGCGUAAAGCGUACCGAUGCGGGGUUAAGAAUGUCAGAUGUGAAAUUCCAAGGCUCAACCUUGGGACUGUCAUUUGAAACUUCUUGACUAGAGGGGCAAAGAGGAAGCUGGAACGAACGGUGUAGUAGUGAAAUGCGUUGAUAUCGUUCGGAACACCUAUAGCGAAGGCAGCUUACUAGGCUGUAACUGACGCUGAGGCACGAAAGUGUGGGGAUCAAACAGG